GUGCCAGCCGCCGCGGUAAUACAGAGAGUGCAAGCGUUAAUCGGAAUUACUGGGCGUAAAGCGCGCGUAGGUGGAUAUUUAAGUCAAGUGUGAAAGCCCUGGGCUCAACCCGGGAAUUGCGUUUGAUACUGGGUAUCUAGAGUAUAGUAGAGGGAAGUGGAAUUUCCGGUGUAGUGGUGAAAUACGUAGAUAUCGGAAGGAACACCAGUGGCGAAGGCGGCUUCCUGGACUAAUACUGACACUGAGGUGCGAAAGCGUGGGGAGCAAACAGGAUUAGAGACCCUGGUAGUCCACGCUGUCAACUAUGAGAACUAGAUGUUGGGUGGUUUCCACUUAGUAUCGAAGCUAACGCGAUAAGUUCUCCGCCUGGGGAGUACGGCCGCAAGGCUAAA
RNAcentral lists this ribosomal RNA (392 nucleotides) under uncultured bacterium. RNAcentral describes it as "bacterial SSU rRNA". It matches the Rfam family "Bacterial small subunit ribosomal RNA", at positions 505 to 898 of the family's 1533-position model. The record is from RNAcentral.